Molecule: ribosomal RNA, 493 nt
Filed under: uncultured bacterium
Lineage: Bacteria
Description: partial 16S ribosomal RNA
Rfam family: Bacterial small subunit ribosomal RNA
Source: RNAcentral
AUUGAACGCUGGCGGCAUGCUUUACACAUGCAAGUCGAACGGUAACGGGUUAAGCUGACGAGUGGCGAACGGGUGAGUAAUGCAUCGGAACGUGCCCGGUCGUGGGGGAUAACGCAGCGAAAGCUGCGCUAAUACCGCAUACGAUCUGAGGAUGAAAGCGGGGGACCGUAAGGCCUCGCGCGAUCGGAGCGGCCGAUGUCAGAUUAGGUAGGUGGUGGGGUAAAGGCUAACCAAGCCAACGAUCUGUAGCUGGUCUGAGAGGACGACCAGCCACACUGGGACUGAGACACGGCCCAGACUCCUACUGGAGGCAGCAGUGGGGAAUUUUGGACAAUGGGCGAAAGCCUGAUCCAGCAAUGCCGCGUGCAGGAAGAAGGCCUUCGGGUUGUAAACUGCCUUUGUACGGAGCGAAAAGGUCUCCUCUAAUACAGGGGGCUCAUGACGGUACCGUAAGAAUAAGCACCGGCUAACUACGUGCCAGCCGCCGCAGUAA